This 1442-nucleotide long non-coding RNA is filed under the name Lathyrus oleraceus (garden pea). RNAcentral's name for it is "Pisum sativum (pea) long non-coding RNA (PSAT_LNC021800)". The record is from RNAcentral. Lineage: Eukaryota; Viridiplantae; Streptophyta; Magnoliopsida; Fabales; Fabaceae.
AUAAUAAGUAUGAUAAUUUCAUCUUUACUUUUGAUUCUAUUUAAUUUGAUUAAAGAAGGUCAACUAUUUGGUCUUUUUAUAAAUAGAUAUUAUGUUUACAUUAAAAUUCAAAAAAAUUUACAUCCUUUUUGCAUUGAUUUUUAAUUCACAAAAAAAUAAAAAUUUAAGUUUUACAUUAUAAUAAUAACACACAUAUUUUACAUUUUAAAAAAUCAGCAAAAUUAUAAAAGAAAGGUAUGUCUAGGUGGUGCUCUCAAGAGAGGUUUGCUGGUUUUGUUUGGAUUGAUUCCCUUGGCAAGAGAUCUUUUUUUUGUCUUGUUUUCACCUGCACACUCAGAAGCAGCAGUUAAAACAAUUUUGGAUAAAAAGACAGAAGACCAUGAAAGUUAAAAAACAGAUUGCAGUAGUAGAAGUUACAUUAUUUUGUUCUUUCUUUCUACAGCAAGCUAAAGAGCAUAUCUUUCUAUUUUUUCUUCUUUAACACACAUAUUUUCAAACCUAAAAAAAAUAUAAAAAGGAGAAGUUCUAACCGUAAGAGGGGAAUCAAAGAAUACACAGAAAAGUAACCAUCCAAAGUUUCAAAACCAAAGCCAAAUUUCUCAAACAGAAAAACUGAAAUGUUCAAAGAAUACGAGACAUUCCUUAAGUCACCUAGGGACACAAAAAUUUGAAAGCAUCAUACACAACACAAUAAUCCAUAUACCAUCUAAAAUCACAGUGAAAAAUCCCAUAACAUAGGCAACCAUUACACAUCAAAAUUCAAAGAAACUUUAAUCGAAGUUAUUACAGGAACGCAACAAGUUUCACAUACAUAUCACAAACCUAAACCACAAACACAUAGAAUUAAAAAAGAAAAAAUCAAGUACCUGAGUCGUGCCUCUGCAGGAGCUACAUUUCUGGGUAGAAUUUCUUUCGUCUUCGCAUUUUUAAACAUUAUCUUCAUCUUAUUUAUGCUGACUUUGUUGAAUGUGUUAACUUUUGGUUUGAUUUCUAUUUCGAUUUCAUGAUGGUCGUGUUGUUUCGUUUGUGUGUUGUGAUGUGAGUUUUGAUUCGUUUGUGUGUUGUGAUGUGCGGACUCUCUCUGUGUAAACUGAGUUUGGCCGUAUGGAUGUUUUUUUUGUUCGGUUGGAAAUCGAUUUUUUUUGUGGCCAUGAAUGUUUGUGUUUUGAUUGAAAAAAUAGAUGAGAGGAGCGAUGUAGAAAGACAAAGGUGUUGUUUUUUUUUCUUUUUGUUAUGAUUCAUGGCCAUUAGAGAUUGUGUUUUGGCAGUGAGGAAGAUCGUGUUCUGAGUUUGGGAAGAAGAAAGUAGUUGUUGUUAUUUUAGGGUUUCUUUACCCCUCUUUUAGAACCAAACUGAAUCGAGUCAGUUGAACUCCCAAACAAUCCUUCCCCUUAUCUAAUUUUGGGCCUCUUCCCCUCUCCAAUUUAGGGGCAUACCCCCCC